Molecule: long non-coding RNA, 1804 nt
Organism: Oncorhynchus tshawytscha (Chinook salmon)
Lineage: Eukaryota; Metazoa; Chordata; Actinopteri; Salmoniformes; Salmonidae
Source: Ensembl
AAAGAGAGAGAGAGAGACGGAAAGAGAGAGAGAGACUGAAAGAGAGAGAGAGAGAGACUGAAAGAGAGAGAGAGACUGAAAGAGAGAGAGAGACUGAAAGAGAGAGAGAGAGACUGAAAGAGAGAGAGAGCGACUGAAAGAGAGAGAGACUGAAAGAGAGAGAGACUGAAAGAGAGAGAGAGACUGAAAGAGAGAGAGAGAGAGACUGAAAGAGAGAGAGAGAGAGACUGAAAGAGAGAGAGACUGAAAGAGAGAGAGAGCGACUGAAAGAGAGAGAGACUGAAAGAGAGAGAGAGAGACUGAAAGAGAGAGAGAGAGGGACUGAAACAGAGAUACUAAAAGAGAGAGAGAGACUAAAAGAGAGAGAGAGACUGAAAGAGAGAGAGCGAGAGACUGAAAGAGAGAGAGACUGAAAGAGAGAGAGACUGAAAGAGAGAGAGAGAGAGACUGAAAGAGAGAGAGAGAGAGACUGAAAGAGAGAGAGAGACUGAAAGAGAGAGAGACUGAAAGAGAGAGAGAGCGACUGAAAGAGAGAGAGACUGAAAGAGAGAGAGAGAGACUGAAAGAGAGAGAGAGAGGGACUGAAACAGAGAUACUAAAAGAGAGAGAGAGACUAAAAGAGAGAGAGAGACUGAAAGAGAGAGAGCGAGAGACUGAAAGAGAGAGAGAGAGACUGAAACAGAGAUACUAAAAGAGAGAGAGUGUAUGAGGUCCAGGUGUCUGUGAGAGUGUAUCAGGUCCAGGUGUCUAUAAGAGUGUAUCAGGUCCAGGUGUCUGUAAGAGUGGAUCAGGUCCAGGUGACUGUAAGAGUGGAUCAGGUCCAGGUGACUGUAAGAGUGGAUCAGGUCCAGGUGACUGUAAGAGUGGAUCAGGUCCAGGUGACUGUAAGAGUGGAUCAGGUCCAGGUGACUGUAAGAGUGGAUCAGGUCCAGGUGACUGUAAGAGUGGAUCAGGUCCAGGCGUCUGUAAGAGUGGAUCAGGUCCAGGUGACUGUAAGAGUGGAUCAGGUCCAGGUGACUGUAAGAGUGGAUCAGGUCCAGGUGUCUAUAAGAGUGGAUCAGGUCCAGGUGUCUAUAAGAGUGGAUCAGGUCCAGGCCCGUCCUGCUGGUAAAUGUGACAGCACUGGUUCAGAUAGAGAGGACAGGGGACAGUACCUAGAGAUCCGUCUCCCAUUAAUUAUGCUGCAGUGCUGAAGAAGGGAUGUCAGGUGGGAGGAAAGGAGGUAUGGGAUCCUUUCAAGCGUUGCCCAGAUAGUCUGGCAGAGACGCCAGGGAACAGUGACUCAGGGUGGAGUGGAGCCACAGUGUUUUAGAUAAGUAGAUGAAACCGAGGAGCCACAGUGUUUUAGAUAAGUAGACGAAACCGAGGAGCCACAGUGUUCUAGAUAAGUAGAUGAAACCGAGGAGCCACAGUGUUCUAGAUAAGUAGAUGAAACCGAGGAGCCACAGUGUUCUAGAUAAGUAGAUGAAACCGAGGAGCCACAGUGUUUUAGAUAAGAAGAUGAAACCGAGGAGCCACAGUGUUUUAGAUAAGUAGAUGAAACCGAGGAGCCACAGUGUUUUAGAUAAGUAGAUGAAACUGAGGAGCCACAGUAGUGGCAUCACACCGCUGUUACAGCUGGCCUGGUUGGACCUUUCAGCGAACAGACAAACACACACAAGAGGAGGGAGGGAUACGGACAGGUCACGGGUCACUCUGCGCCUGAGAAAUGUAAUGACUAACUAAUUACAAAUACAUUGUCCCCCAGGAGCCGUUUGUCUAACAUGGAGGGGGGAGAAAGGGAGGAGGGGGAGAGAGAGAGGGG